Long non-coding RNA from Amphimedon queenslandica, 335 nucleotides. RefSeq lists it as uncharacterized. Lineage: Eukaryota; Metazoa; Porifera; Demospongiae; Haplosclerida; Niphatidae. The record is from RefSeq and is a predicted model, not a curated record. The transcript is spliced from 3 exons.
AAUAAACAAUUAGAAGAAACACUAACAAAAAUGAGAGUAAAGGAAAAUCAACAACUUCUGUCAUUACCAAGAAAUACUAGUUCAGCAUCAUACAGAAUCAGAAGAGGAAUGAGAAUGGAAAUAGAACAAUUGCAGUUAUUAUUAACAAAUGCAACUGGUAUAAUAUACUGAAUCAUAAUGUAUGUGAUAGUGUAUUAUAUACUAUGAUAGGUUUACUAGAUCAGAAUGAAUCAUUAAUUGAUAUUAACAGAGAAAUAGCUAAACUGCAACAACAAAUAUCAGUAAUGAGUGUACAGUAUAGUGCAAAAAAAAGGCUAAGUAGCUGCGCAGUAGAG